This 301-nucleotide ribosomal RNA is filed under the name uncultured bacterium. RNAcentral describes it as "partial 16S ribosomal RNA". It matches the Rfam family "Bacterial small subunit ribosomal RNA", at positions 509 to 807 of the family's 1533-position model. The record is from RNAcentral.
CAGCCGCCGCGGUAAUACGGAGGGUGCAAGCGUUAUCCGGAUUCACUGGGUUUAAAGGGUGCGUAGGCGGAUCUGUAAGUCAGUGGUGAAAUCUCCGGGCUUAACCUGGAAACUGCCGUUGAUACUAUAGGUCUUGAAUUUUGUGGAGGUUAGCGGAAUAUGUCAUGUAGCGGUGAAAUGCAUAGAUAUGACAUAGAACACCAAUUGCGAAGGCAGCUGGCUACACAACUAUUGACGCUGAGGCACGAAAGCGUGGGGAUCAAACAGGAUUAGAUACCCCUGUAGUCCCUGUCUCUUAUAC